AUUGAACGCUGGCGGCAGGCCUAACACAUGCAAGUCGAGCGGAUGAAGCGAGCUUGCUCCUGGAUUCAGCGGCGCACGGGUGAGUAAUGCCUAGGAAUCUGCCUGGUAGUGGGGGAUAACGUCCGGAAACGGGCGCUAAUACCGCAUACGUCCUGAGGGAGAAAGUGGGGGAUCUUCGGACCUCACGCUAUCAGAUGAGCCUAGGACGGAUUAGCUAGUUGGUGGGGUAAAGGCCUACCAAGGCGACGAUCCGUAACUGGUCUGAGAGGAUGAUCAGUCACACUGGAACUGAGACACGGUCCAGACUCCUACGGGAGGGAGCAGUGGGGAAUAUUGGACAAUGGGCGAAAGCCUGAUCCAACCAUGCCGCGUGUGUGAAGAAGGUCUUCGGAUUGUAAAGCACUUUAAGUUGGGAGGAAGGGCAGUAAGUUAAUACCUUGCUGUUUUGACGUUACCAACAGAAUAAGCACCGGCUAACUUCGUG
Molecule: ribosomal RNA, 484 nt
Filed under: uncultured bacterium
Lineage: Bacteria
Description: partial 16S ribosomal RNA
Rfam family: Bacterial small subunit ribosomal RNA
Source: RNAcentral